GACGAACGCUGGCGGCGUGCUUAACACAUGCAAGUCGAACGGAAAGGCCCUGCUUUUGUGGGGUGCUCGAGUGGCGAACGGGUGAGUAACACGUGAGUAACCUGCCCUUGACUUUGGGAUAACUUCAGGAAACUGGGGCUAAUACCGGAUAGGAGCUCCUGCUGCAUGGUGGGGGUUGGAAAGUUUCGGCGGUUGGGGAUGGACUCGCGGCUUAUCAGCUUGUUGGUGGGGUAGUGGCUUACCAAGGCUUUGACGGGUAGCCGGCCUGAGAGGGUGACCGGCCACAUUGGGACUGAGAUACGGCCCAGACUCCAACGGGAGGCAGCAGUGGAGAAUAUUGCACAAUGGGCGGAAGCCUGAUGCAGCAACGCCGCGUGCGGGAUGACGGCCUUCGGGUUGUAAACCACUUUCGCCUGUGACGAAGCGUGAGUGACGGUAAUGGGUAAAGAAGCACCGGCUAACUACGUG
This 468-nucleotide ribosomal RNA is filed under the name uncultured bacterium. RNAcentral's name for it is "partial 16S ribosomal RNA". It matches the Rfam family "Bacterial small subunit ribosomal RNA", at positions 28 to 507 of the family's 1533-position model. The record is from RNAcentral.